Molecule: ribosomal RNA, 484 nt
Filed under: uncultured bacterium
Lineage: Bacteria
Description: partial 16S ribosomal RNA
Rfam family: Bacterial small subunit ribosomal RNA
Source: RNAcentral
AUUGAACGCUGGCGGCAUGCUUUACACAUGCAAGUCGAACGGCAGCGCGGGCUUCGGCCUGGCGGCGAGUGGCGAUCGGGUGAGUAAUGCAUCGGAACGUGCCCAGUAGUGGGGGAUAGCCCGGCGAAAGCCGGAUUAAUACCGCAUACGACCUGAGGGUGAAAGCGGGGGACCGAAAGGCCUCGCGCUAUUGGAGCGGCCGAUGUCGGAUUAGCUAGUUGGUGGGGUAAAGGCUUACCAAGGCGACGAUCCAUAGCUGGUCUGAGAGGACGACCAGCCACACUGGGACUGAGACACGGCCCAGACUCCUACGGGAGGCAGCAGUGGGGAAUUUUGGACAAUGGGGGCAACCCUGAUCCAGCCAUGCCGCGUGCGGGAAGAAGGCCUUCGGGUUGUAAACCGCUUUUGUUCGGGAAGAAAUCCUCUGGGCUAAUACCCCGGGGGGAUGACGGUACCGGAAGAAUAAGCACCGGCUAACUACGUG